RNAcentral lists this ribosomal RNA (497 nucleotides) under uncultured bacterium. Its description in RNAcentral is "partial 16S ribosomal RNA". It matches the Rfam family "Bacterial small subunit ribosomal RNA", at positions 28 to 507 of the family's 1533-position model. The record is from RNAcentral.
GAUGAACGCUGGCGGCGUGCCUAAUACAUGCAAGUCGAGCGAACAGACGAGGAGCUUGCUCCUCUGACGUUAGCGGCGGACGGGUGAGUAACACGUGGAUAACCUACCUAUAAGACUGGGAUAACUUCGGGAAACCGGAGCUAAUACCGGAUAAUAUAUUGAACCGCAUGGUUCAAUAGUGAAAUACGGUUUUGCUGUCACUUAUAGAUGGAUCCGCGCCGCAUUAGCUAGUUGGUAAGGUAACGGCUUACCAGGGCAACGAUGCGUAGCCGACCGGAGAGGGGGAUCGGCGACACGAGAAGGGAGACACGGACAAGACGCCUACGAGAGGGAGCAGUAGGGAAUCGUCCGCAAUGGGCGAAAGCCUGGCGGAGCAACGCCGAGUGAGUUAUAAAGGUCUUCGGAGCGUAAAACUGUGUUAUUAGGGAAGAACAAAUGUGGAAGUAACUAUGCACGUCUUGACGGUACCUAAUCAGAAAGCCACGGCUAACUACGUG